UUUAAGGCCGCCCCGCGGCGCCCCGCGCUUUACCUCGUCUUGCGCGGGCGGCCGCGGCCGGGCACCGCGGGGAAGGGCGGCGCGGCCCGCGGUGGGAGGCGGCCGGGAAAAGAAAAACACGAUCAGCAGAACAGUUCCAGCACCACACCCCUGUUAUCACUCAGGCAACCUCCCUGUCCGAAAUAUUUUAAGUGGAUAAUAAAAUAGCCACCGUA
Molecule: long non-coding RNA, 215 nt
Organism: Dromaius novaehollandiae (emu)
Lineage: Eukaryota; Metazoa; Chordata; Aves; Casuariiformes; Dromaiidae
Exons: 2
Source: RefSeq, a predicted model, not a curated record